RNAcentral lists this transfer RNA (77 nucleotides) under Candidatus Peregrinibacteria bacterium. RNAcentral's name for it is "tRNA-Arg". It matches the Rfam family "tRNA". From Rfam's summary of the family: Transfer RNA (tRNA) molecules are approximately 80 nucleotides in length. The record is from RNAcentral. Lineage: Bacteria; Candidatus Peregrinibacteriota.
GACUGCGUAGCUCAGUUGGAUAGAGCGUUGGUUUGCGGAACCAAAGGCCACAGGUUCAAAUCCUGUCGCGGUCACCA